This is a long non-coding RNA of Dermacentor albipictus, 619 nucleotides long. RefSeq lists it as uncharacterized. The record is from RefSeq and is a predicted model, not a curated record. NCBI's taxonomy places the organism in Eukaryota, Metazoa, Arthropoda, Arachnida, Ixodida, Ixodidae.
CUUCGCCCAGCUCUCUCGCUCUCCCGCGGCACGGAGGAAUAAAAUGUCGCGAAGGACGCAGAUGAAGCACACGUCUCGUUUCGUUUACGAAGGAACGGAGCAUCAGGUCAUACAUUGAAACCACGAUGCGUUUGCUAAUCGUCUUUGCUGUAUCACCUGCUGUAAUGGCUUUGCUGCUCACCGAGGCAUAUUACUUUGGCAAAUUCAAAUACUUCAGCAACACCUCUGUGCCACAAUGAGGGCCUGCGCCGUUCGGGAUGCGUGGUUCGGGAUGAUGUUUCUCAUGGAAACAAUGCCGCCGACGCCAACGCCAGAUUUGCUGCGACCUCUUUUGCGUCAAGGCAGUCCGAAGCCCCCUUGUCCGGGAACGACCAUUGGCCUGAACCAAAGCCCCUCGCUGAGUCAGCCCGGGUAGAGCGGGAAUGCCGGAGUCAAUCUAUCGGAUUAUAUGUUCAUGCUGCAACCGGCUCGGACGUACACGGCGCUGUUCCAGCAUGCAAGACCCCACCAGAGGAGUUUCUCGAAUAUGGCGACGACGAACCUUUUGAGUUUUUGUAUAUAUAUAAUGAAACCAGUCAGUUGUGCGAAGAUGUCCUCACUAAAAUGGGCAAUACCCAGG